Long non-coding RNA from Triticum aestivum (bread wheat), 1441 nucleotides. RefSeq lists it as uncharacterized. The transcript is spliced from 3 exons. NCBI's taxonomy places the organism in Eukaryota, Viridiplantae, Streptophyta, Magnoliopsida, Poales, Poaceae. The record is from RefSeq and is a predicted model, not a curated record.
GAGCUGUUCUGAUGGCCCCAUGGCUACCGCCUAUAUAAGACAAUCAGGACGCAUUGGUUGGACAUUGUAUUAGAUCACAGGCUGAGCAAAUACAAGAUGUGCCGCCGCCGGCUUGUAGAAAACACUAGAUUAGGGAUGGCUUGCGGCCAAAGCAGAGAGUGCUAGCUGUUCAUGGCGCCUUUCUGCACUCGGCGAAGAGAAAUCACCGAUGUCGCUGCUCACGGCUCUGAAGGGAGAUCAAUGGCGUUGUUUCCCACGGAAGCGACGGAAGAUCUCAUCACACCACAUGAUCACCAAAGGACCUCUGCUCUGCACAUACAUCUUCCUUCGAAAUCACGCUGUUGUCAUGUUUUCAGGUCAAGUGUGCUUGGGUAUCAUCUAACAUAUCACAGGACUGAAUUGAUUGGUUUCAUUCUUGGUUUGUCAUGCGGAUGUGUAAUCAUGACUCCUCCUGCUGUUCACGGAAUAGCAGUUGCAGCCGCCCCAUUGCUUCUCUAGAGUUGCAGCCAGGGGGUCUACGCUAGCAAUGUAAAAGAUUUUAUUCAGAUUAAGCAAUAAGUGUGUUAAAUGUUCAUCUAUUUCCAUUAACCUUUCAUCAUUCUCUCUCUGUUACUUUUUGCAAUUUUCUUCCAGUAUUUUUUUCUUAGCACAUGCUUUUGAGUUGAGAAACCUAUUAACUACGCUGCUCAGACCCUAGGAAGAAGUCGGUAGGAUUCUUAAAUUUGUGGCAUCAUUAAAAUCUUAAACUAAUAUUAGUCAUAUGCUCAGGUUGAUUCCUUAUGAAUAGUAGUACGACAUUAACAUUUUAUAUUUUUCAAGUUGGAUAAAAUUGUUGGUGCAAUAUGCGUAUGUUCUUUUACUUUGUUGUGCACCAGAGAAUACGCUUUUUAUACCUCCUGACACCACCUGGUACUGCUACGAUUAUUUGAAAGCCCUCUUAGUAGUAACCUUUUUUCGGCUCAAUAGUCUUUUAGGGGUUUGGCUCUAUAUUCAUUGAUGGUUAGCAAAUCCUCAUUUGUUAAGUUUGUAUUCUUAUAUAAUUUCGUUCUCAGGAUUUAAUUGUGGCUACGUUUAUAGCAAGAACAUUUCAUACCUUACAUGUACUCUUUUUGUUUGGUGUAUAUUAGCAUAUGUUUCCUAUGAUGCUACCCGAUAAACUACUGUCGCAUUGGCCCAAUGUUCAAGCCCCUAUAAUGAGAGCCAUGUAACAAGGAUUUUCAACUUCCAAUGAAAGCUAACAAUGUGAAGCAACGGAGGAUUAUGUCCAAUAAACAAGCAAAGUUGGAAGAAAUCAAGUCCAGAUUCGAUUGACUUUUAAAUCGACCCACUCGCUUUCACUCAAUUUUUUGUAAAUACAUGAUGUGUCCUCUUCGUGAAGUAUAAAUUGAUGAGCUGAAAUCAUGUUAUGUCGAGGAUGAAUGAGUGUCAUAUAUCUAUUCCA